AUCGCUUUCACGGCCUAUUUGGCUAUGAUCAAAGUGUAGUAUCUGUUCUUAUUAGAUUGAAAUCUAAUAGGAGGUCUAUACGACCUCUUGAAUUUCAAACUGAUUUUUGGAACUCGGUAGAGUGACUGGGGCUUGCUCCGGCUCUACCAUGGGUCUUGUCUGCAUUGCAUUACCGCAGAUAGAGGCCUGAUAACC
This 195-nucleotide small nuclear RNA is filed under the name Trichogramma pretiosum. RNAcentral describes it as "U2 spliceosomal RNA". It matches the Rfam family "U2 spliceosomal RNA". Rfam says of the family: U2 is a small nuclear RNA (snRNA) component of the spliceosome (involved in pre-mRNA splicing). Complementary binding between U2 snRNA (in an area lying towards the 5' end but 3' to hairpin I) and the branchpoint sequence (BPS) of the intron results the bulging out of an unpaired adenosine, on the BPS, which initiates a nucleophilic attack at the intronic 5' splice site, thus starting the first of two transesterification reactions that mediate splicing. The record is from RNAcentral. Lineage: Eukaryota; Metazoa; Arthropoda; Insecta; Hymenoptera; Trichogrammatidae.